Molecule: ribosomal RNA, 327 nt
Filed under: Apoica pallida
Lineage: Eukaryota; Metazoa; Arthropoda; Insecta; Hymenoptera; Vespidae
Description: SSU rRNA
Rfam family: Eukaryotic small subunit ribosomal RNA
Source: RNAcentral
UAAAGUCGUAGUUGAAUCUGUGUUUCACACUGUCGGUUCACCGCUCGCGGUGUUUACUGGCAUGAUGUGGGACGUCCUACCGGUGGACUUGGCCCCUCGGGGCGGUCCAAAUAAUAUCCCAUCGCGGUGCUCUUCAUUGAGUGUCGAGAUGGGCCGGUACGUUUACUUUGAACAAAUUAGAGUGCUCAAAGCAGGCUAGCCUCGCCUGAAUACUGUGUGCAUGGAAUAAUGGAAUAGGACCUCGGUUCUAUUUUGUUGGUUUUCGGAACACCGAGGUAAUGAUUAAUAGGGACAGAUGGGGGCAUUCGUAUUGCGACGUUAGAGUAU